RNAcentral lists this ribosomal RNA (468 nucleotides) under uncultured bacterium. Its description in RNAcentral is "partial 16S ribosomal RNA". It matches the Rfam family "Bacterial small subunit ribosomal RNA", at positions 28 to 507 of the family's 1533-position model. The record is from RNAcentral.
GACGAACGCUGGCGGCGUGCUUAACACAUGCAAGUCGAACGGAAAGGCCCUGCUUUUGUGGGGUGCUCGAGUGGCGAUCGGGUGAGUAACACGUGAGUAACCUGCCCUUGACUUUGGGAUAACUUCAGGAAACUGGGGCUAAUACCGGAUAGGAGCUCCUGCUGCAUGGUGGGGGUUGGAAAGUUUCGGCGGUUGGGGAUGGACUCGCGGCUUAUCAGCUUGCUGGUGGGGUAGUGGCUUACCAAGGCUUUGACGGGUAGCCGGCCUGAGAGGGUGACCGGACACGUUAGGACUGGGAUACGGCCCAGACUCCAACGGGAGGCAACGGUGGAGAAGAUUGCACAGUAGGCGGAAGCCUGGUGCGACGACGCCGCGUGCGGGAAGACGGGCUUCGGGUUGUAAACCGCUGUCGCCUGAGACGAGGCGAGAGUGACGGUAAUGGAUAAAGAAGCACCGGCUAAAUACGUG